ACCACUGACGACCACCAGAGACCCUUGAGGACCACCGACUCAAAUCACUGAGCAUGCGUGAUGGGGAGGAGAAUAUGGAAAUGGAUUCUAAGAAAUGAUUAUCAUAGGACUGCCUUUUCUGAGAAAAAUGAUGAAUAUGUAUGUUUUGAUCCUACAUACCCUGUGUGUUGGUGAUCACCUGGCAUGCACGUUGGGUGGAGCUGAUUCCCUGUGCAUCCAGCGCUGCAAUAAAGAAUGCCUGCCUUUUAACACUACAUUGGUGUUACGAGGUUUAUUCCCGGGUUUCGGUGACAGUUUUUGGCAACCCAGAUGGGACACUGCUUUUGAACCUCGACGGAUCCGUGGGAUCGCAGGACCUCCAGCCGGCACCGGGUAAUUCUCGGGGAGAACCUCAGAUCCCCGGACCGAGGAGCUCUGAGCAAGACCCCUGGGAGAGGAUUCCUCCAAGGAGGAACAGAGUCCAGAAGAAGUGGUGGACAAUGCAGUAACCCCUUUGGUAUGGGCAAGUGAAGUUCCAGGACGAUCCAAACUGGCAGAACUGGCAAAGGUGACUUUAAAACCUGGGGCCAAGCCGGUGCACCCACAGCAAGGAUACUGCGCAUGCCUGCAAGAAGAGGGUCAUGCAGCAGACACGGGUGCAAGACCACUGACGAUCACCAGAGACCCUUGAGGACCACCAACUCAAAUCACUCAGCAUGCGUGAUGGG
Long non-coding RNA from Grus americana (Whooping crane), 707 nucleotides. RefSeq lists it as uncharacterized. Lineage: Eukaryota; Metazoa; Chordata; Aves; Gruiformes; Gruidae. The record is from RefSeq and is a predicted model, not a curated record. The transcript is spliced from 3 exons.